Molecule: ribosomal RNA, 238 nt
Filed under: uncultured bacterium
Lineage: Bacteria
Description: partial 16S ribosomal RNA
Rfam family: Bacterial small subunit ribosomal RNA
Source: RNAcentral
UGGCGGACGGGUGAGUAACGCGUGGGUAACCUGCCUCAUACAGGGGGAUAACAGUUAGAAAUGACUGCUAAUACCGCAUAAGACCACAGUACCGCAUGGUACAGGGGUAAGAACUCCGGUGGUAUGAGAUGGACCCGCGUCUGAUUAGGUAGUUGGUGGGGUAACGGCCUACCAAGCCGACGAUCAGUAGCCGACCUGAGAGGGUGACCGGCCACAUUGGGACUGAGACACGGCCCAA